RNAcentral lists this ribosomal RNA (495 nucleotides) under uncultured bacterium. Its description in RNAcentral is "partial 16S ribosomal RNA". It matches the Rfam family "Bacterial small subunit ribosomal RNA", at positions 28 to 507 of the family's 1533-position model. The record is from RNAcentral.
GACGAACGCUGGCGGCGUGCCUAAUACAUGCAAGUAGAACGCUGAAGGAGGAGCUUGCUCUUCUGGAUGAGUUGCGAACGGGUGAGUAACGCGUAGGUAACCUGCCUGGUAGCGGGGGAUAACUAUUGGAAACGAUAGCUAAUACCGCAUAACAGUAUAUGUUGCAUGACAUUUUCUUAAAAGUUGCAAUUUCAUCACUACCAGAUGGACCUGCGUUGUAUUAGCUAGUUGGUGGGGUAACGGCUCACCAAGGCGACGAUACAUAGCCGACCUGAGAGGGGGAUCGGCCACACUGGGAAUGAGACAAGGCCCAGACUCCUACGGGAGGCAGCAGGAGGGAAUCUUAGGCAAUGGACGGAAGUCUGAACGAGCAACGCCGCGGGAGUGAAGAAGGUUGUCGGAUCGUAAAGAUCUGUUGUAAGAGAAGAAAGAGUGUGAGAGUGGAAAGUUCACACUGUGACGGUAUCUUACCAGAAAGGGACGGCUAACUACGUG